This 772-nucleotide long non-coding RNA is filed under the name Homo sapiens (human). RNAcentral describes it as "HSALNT0168564". Lineage: Eukaryota; Metazoa; Chordata; Mammalia; Primates; Hominidae. The record is from RNAcentral.
CAGUAGGAUGAGGCCCCAGAAUAGGCUGAAGCCAAGUUGUAGCAAACGCCAAGGUGUUCAUCCUGUGAUCAAAGAGGAGCUGCUUAAGGUCGGUGAGCUGAGCUGAGGGCAUUAAGGUAGAAGGUGGAGUUGAGCAGCUCUUCCAGCCUGCGCGGAACGUCGUUCUCCCGGUAGUACUCCAUCGCCUGCUGCUUCAGCUUCUGCAGCUCCCUAGUGGUCCCACAGCUGCGGCCGCCGCCUUCUUCCUCCAUGAUGAAAACAUCUGAGACUCAGGGCUAAGCACCUUGCCCAAGGCCACACAACAAGUAGGUGAUGGAGAGUGUUGGCGUGUACGGAUUCUGUGGGUGUAAAGCAAAGAACAAAAUGAAGUGUGAUUCAAGGUGGGAAAUAGCCGCUUCAGCUCCCCCAGGCUGCAGCAGCUACCACACAAAGAAGCAGUCCUAUGGCAAUGACAGGACAUCUGUGUCCAGGAUUUGGAUUUGACGAACUGGCAGUUCCUGCAGGGAUGACGGUACUCCCUAGUUGUGUCUGAAUUGGACGCACCAGCACUUGAGCACACACAAACGCACGUGAACAGACGGAACAUGUUAUGGGCCUGUUAGCCAAGGAAUGACAGAAUUAAUCCAUGGGCAUUUGCGGCCAGUGUUGUGUUAAACUAAAGGGAAAAAGUGAACUGGAAAAAGCAAUGUUUGUUUUAUGAAAAUCUCAGACCCAAUCCUUAGGUGACAGUUCUGGAAAUGAGGGGUGUCUAAAACAAAGGGCAUCUGAAACU